AACCAUAGAAACCUGCGGAGUACCUGCGGAAGGAUCAUUAGUGAAUGGGCCGCAAGGCCUCAAUUCCAAUCCCACACCUUUGUGAACUCGUCACGGUAGCUUUGGCGGGGCCAUCCUAUGGAUGCUCCGAUGAGGAGAGUCCCCGCCAGAGGUUUUACGGUCAAACAUAUUUAUUUGAAAAAGUCAGAAAGUCAUUUACACAAUCCACAAAACUUUCAGCAAUGGAUCUCAGAUCGGAAG
RNAcentral lists this unclassified non-coding RNA (240 nucleotides) under soil metagenome. RNAcentral describes it as "partial contains 5.8S ribosomal RNA, internal transcribed spacer 2, and large subunit ribosomal RNA". The record is from RNAcentral.